UUACGACUACAUAUCAGGCAUAUCAAUAAGCGGAGGAAAAGAAACUAACUAGGAUUCCCUCAGUAACGGCGAGUGAAGCGGGAAGAGCUCAAAUUUGAAAUCUUCAAGGUUCUACCUUGACGAAUUGUAGUUUAAAGAAGUGUUUUCUGUUGGAGUUUUGGUAAAAGUUCUUUGGAAUAGGACAUCAUAGAGGGUGAGAAUCCCGUAUUUGACCAUUAUUUCCAGCUUUGUGAUACACUUUCAAAGAGUCGGAUUGUUUGGGAAUGCAGUCCAAAAUGGGUGGUAAAUUUCAUCUAAAGCUAAAUAUUGGCGAGAGACCGAUAGCGAACAAGUACCGUGAGGGAAAGAUGAAAAGAACUUUGAAAAGAGAGUUAAACAGUACGUGAAAUUGUCAAAAGGGAAGCGUUUGACACCAGUGUUGUUUUCUCGAAAAUCAAUUAAAAAGAGGUGGAUUUUGUGUUGUAUUGACCUUUAUCAGCUUUCUGCACUCUUUUCCUGUCUUUUUUAAUGCACUUUUCGUUUAACAAGUCAACAUCAAUUUCUUUUGUUGUAAAAGGGUCAUUGGAAGGUGGCUUUCUUUUCGGAGAAAGUGUUUAUAGCCUUUGGCCUCUGCAAUCGGAGAGAUUGAGGUCUGCAGCGUAGAUCCUUCGGGGUUAGAUACAUUUGUGCUAAGUUAUAGCCUUUCAUAGACAACUUGUUGACUAUGAUCAGUCAUGUAGCUUACUCGCUUAUGCUAUUUUACCUACGCUUAGGAUGUUGAGCGCAUGUCUCUCUCU
Molecule: ribosomal RNA, 776 nt
Filed under: uncultured Neocallimastigales
Lineage: Eukaryota; Fungi; Neocallimastigomycota; Neocallimastigomycetes; Neocallimastigales
Description: partial large subunit ribosomal RNA
Rfam family: Eukaryotic large subunit ribosomal RNA
Source: RNAcentral